This 238-nucleotide ribosomal RNA is filed under the name uncultured bacterium. RNAcentral's name for it is "partial 16S ribosomal RNA". It matches the Rfam family "Bacterial small subunit ribosomal RNA", at positions 100 to 334 of the family's 1533-position model. The record is from RNAcentral.
CGGGACUGGUGAGUAACGCGUGAGGAACCUGCCUUUCAGAGGGGGACAACAGUUGGAAACGACUGCUAAUACCGCAUAAGCCCACGGCUCGGCAUCGAGCAGAGGGAAAAGGAGCAAUCCGCUUUGAGAUGGCCUCGCGUCCGAUUAGCUAGUUGGUGAGGUAACGGCCCACCAAGGCGACGAUCGGUAGCCGGACUGGGAGGUUGAACGGCCACAUUGGGACUGAGACACGGCCCAG